Molecule: ribosomal RNA, 253 nt
Filed under: uncultured bacterium
Lineage: Bacteria
Description: partial 16S ribosomal RNA
Rfam family: Bacterial small subunit ribosomal RNA
Source: RNAcentral
UACGUAGGGUGCAAGCGUUGUUCGGAAUUAUUGGGCGUAAAGCGUCCGCAGGUGGCACCUCAAGUCUGCUGUCAAAGACCGGGGCUUAACCCCAGAAAGGCAGUGGAAACUGAAGUGCUAGAGUGCAGUAGGGGUAGAGGGAAUUCCCGGUGUAGCGGUGAAAUGCGUAGAGAUCGGGAAGAACAUCGGUGGCGAAAGCGCUCUGCUGGACUGCAACUGACACUCAGGGACGAAAGCUAGGGGAGCGAAUGGG